This 253-nucleotide ribosomal RNA is filed under the name uncultured bacterium. RNAcentral's name for it is "partial 16S ribosomal RNA". It matches the Rfam family "Bacterial small subunit ribosomal RNA", at positions 524 to 776 of the family's 1533-position model. The record is from RNAcentral.
GACGUAGGGGGCCAGCGUUGCUCGGAAUUACUGGGCGUAAAGGGUUCGUAGGCGGUGCGGCAAGUCGGAAGUGAAAUCUCUGGGCUUAACUCAGAGGCUGCUCCCGAAACUGCCGUGCUUGAGUGCGGGAGAGGCGAGUGGAAUUGCAGGUGUAGCGGUGAAAUGCGUAGAUAUCUGCAGGAACACCCGUGGCGAAGGCGGCUCGCUGGACCGCAACUGACGCUGAGGAACGAAAGCUAGGGGAGCAAACAGG